Molecule: ribosomal RNA, 253 nt
Filed under: uncultured bacterium
Lineage: Bacteria
Description: partial 16S ribosomal RNA
Rfam family: Bacterial small subunit ribosomal RNA
Source: RNAcentral
UACGUAGGCAGCGAGCGUUGUUCGGAAUUAUUGGGCGUAAAGAGUGUGUAGGCGGUGCUCCAAGUCUGUUGUGAAAUCUCCCGGCUUAACUGGGAGGGUGCGGCGGAAACUGGAAUGCUAGAGGGUGGGAGAGGUAAGCGGAAUUCCUGGUGUAGCGGUGAAAUGCGUAGAUAUCAGGAGGAACACCAACGGCGAAAGCACUCUGCUGGGCCGACACUGACACUGAGAGACGAAAGCUAGGGGAGCGAAUGGG